RNAcentral lists this long non-coding RNA (9234 nucleotides) under Olea europaea (common olive). RNAcentral's name for it is "long non-coding RNA (OEUR_LNC010702)". Lineage: Eukaryota; Viridiplantae; Streptophyta; Magnoliopsida; Lamiales; Oleaceae. The record is from RNAcentral.
GGAGUUGCUGGGGAAUUAAUCUAUAGACAAAAAGGCAGCCAAUUGGGGGAUUAAUACACAUUGAUACACACGGAACCGAGAGGAAGAAAAACCAUAGAAAAGCUGGUUGGAAAUAAGAGAUUUCACAUUGGAUUCCAAGAAAGGCUGCCGGCUGAGUUUUUUGUGCAACUUUCUUCAAUAAUUGUGCAAGGAGCUUGAAAAUUGAAUCACUUCCCGUCGAUUUUCGGUGAUUUCCUUCCACUUUUAUUUGUUUAAUUCAACAUGAUGCUAGGCUAAAUCUUUACAUAUUUGCGCACCAUUAGGAUAAUAAAUUGCUUAUUCGUAGUGUUGGAAAACUCAUGAUAGCUAGAGAACUAUUAUUAGGACACACGGACAAUAAAUAUUAGGAAUAAUAUUUGUGACGUUUAUGAUUAUAUGUGAAUUUUUAAAUGUCAAUGCAUGUUUGCCAUAUGAAUUUGGAUUAGGAAUAUGAUCGUCUUGUGGUAAUCAUAGGUUUAUCAUAUCUUAGAAAAGAAUAAUAAAUAAAAGUGAAAUUAUCGAUUGUCGCAAUGGCAAAAAAUUUACGUAGUUAUUACUGGUUGAGAAUUAGAAUUAAGUAUUGAUCAUUGGCGUCAAAAAUCUAAUACGUUGACACAUUUGAUUUUUAAACCAACUUUCAUUGUUUUCGCAAGUUUUAGUUAUAAAAAUUCGUUAGCUAUUCAUUCGAUCUUUUUUAUUACAAACACGAAUUUAAAUAUAUCAAAUAUAUUAGAAUUGAUCAUUAUUUCAUGUGGGACAAUAACUCUUUCAUCAUGAUCAUUACUUAUACAACGAACCCAUAUGUUUGUGAAAUUUUGACGAACAGUGCUUAUUAACUCUAACUUUAACCUAUGUUUGUCUCUUUCUUUUCUACUGCAUUAAAUAUUAGCAUCAAGUUUAGAUUAAAUUGAUUUCAUAUACUUCUAUAACAACUUAAUCUACUUUGGUCCGGUGUAAAUAUAGGUGCUGACCUUUUAUUCUACAUUUUCUGAAAGGGAUUGCUUUUGAAGAAGAAUGCAAAAUUUCUGAACUUUAAGAAUGAUUUUUGUUUUUGGAAAUGGGAUUGCUUCUAACAAAAUCCAUUGCUUUGAGACCUGUUUUUUUUUGUAAGUCAGUAAAUCUUGUUUAACACGGUCAUCCAUAUUUUAUAGGCUCUUCAACAUGCAAAAGAAGCCCUGAGGUUACGAAAGAAGCUUUUAGCUAAAAUGUUUUUUUUACUUAAUUGUGAAAAGGAAAGAAUUUUAUGAAUAAGAGUGGAAAUGUUAAAGGAAUACAUGAGUAUUGAGGCGUUAGAGAUUUCUUAUCUAGUAACGAUUGAUUUUUUUUUGGGGGGGGAGCAAUUCUUGUGAAUUUGACUACAUUAUUACUCCUUGGAAUGUACUUAGCAUUUACCUUGAUCGCGUCUUUUAGGUAUAGAAUUCUUUAAUUCAAAUAUUUUGGUUAAAACUUUAUAUGAAAUAAUGUUUCUGUUAUAUAUCAUUAUUUUAUUUCAAUUAUUUGUGAGUCAGAGGUUGCAAGCAUAAAUGAGAAUAUAGGAAUUGCGCAAGAAGCUCAAACUUCUUUACUAUGGGAAAAAGCAUCUUCCAAUUUCAGGUUUGACACUUUUUGGAAUUUAUUUUUCUUCUAUGUUCAGAUGAUUGCUUUAUUUUUUUUCCCCUUACUUUAUCAUAAUUUAACCAAAGAUAUUAAUGGUAUGUUUGAUUGCAAGUAUGAAAUUUACAUGAAAAGAAAAUAAUUUCUAGGAAAAUUGUCAAUUAAAGUGUUUGAUUGAUUUUAUUUUCAACCUAGAAAAUGUUAUACUUGUCAAUUUUUUAUUAAUAGGUAAAUAGGAGAGAGGGGGAGGGAGUAGAUGAGAGAGAAAAAAAGAAUGAAUUACCUAGAAAAUAAAAAUCUACUCUCGAGGAACAUAUUUUCCUUGUUUUGAAGGAAAAUAUAGUCAUGUGACCAAAAGUAGGAAAAUAUUUUUCAUGGAAAAAAUCAAUCAAAAUAGCUAUGAAGUAGGAAUUUGGGUAGAAAAAUAUUGGAAAUUAAACGCACUAUUAACUUAUAUUAAAACUUUAUCCUGAAGAUUAUACGGCAAAAGGUUUUGUUGGAGCCAGUUAGAAAAUGUGUUAUGUAGUAUAUGAUAAUCGCGCAGUUAUUACUUGUACGAAAUGUUCAAAUUCUCUGAAAGUGACAAUUAAUUAGGAAACGAGAGAUUUACUUUUAUGUAAAUCUUAUAGGAAUGUAGAAAGGUCGCCUAUCAAUGAAUUAUAUCGUGUUAAAUAUAUGUACAUAUUGACAUUAAAUAAGUUAAUUUCUUCUGAGUGGAGGCAUGUUGACUAUAAGUCAUUGGAUAAGAGAGUUCAUUUGAUGAUUGUGUAAAAGAGACUCAGAGCUUGUUUGAGAGUAAUUUUUCAUCCCAAAAAAAUUGAUCUUUUGAUCGUUAUUUCACUAUUCCAGCUGUGAAGUUUGACUUCUUCUCUCAUGGGUGGCUCUCACUUUUCUCCCAACGGUCACAAAAUUAAUUUUCAAAAUCAUUCCCAAACGGGGUCUAAGAAGAAAUUACAGUAUGAUAUACUCGAUCUUGUAUUGACUAGUUUUGAGACUAAUCAAAUUUAUCGCCUUUGUGACUAGAUAUGUUGGCGGUGUGUUUAUCUUGAAACUGUUAAAUUUGAUUCUUUGAGGAUGUUUAUAUACAUGAACUGUGACCUUGUCCAAAAAAAGCUUUUUCUAAAGCUACUGAUUAGGUUGGGUAAUAUGAUAUUUAAUUAUUUUCAAUUUUUAAUCGGUCCAUGUUUUUCUAUUUAUCUUAUCAAAUUUAAUCCAUUAGUACUUGCUAGCAUUUGAAUAUAUGAAAUUGUACAGUAAAUUGCAAGUUCUGCCAUAUAAGAUAUUGUAAAAAAAUUGGUAAUAUACCAUCGUUUACGCUUUCUUUAAUUACGACUUUAUCCUCCUCCUAGCAUAGCCUCAUGCUUUGAUCCAAAAAUUGACUAAGGAUAGAAGCAAGCUACAUGCAUUAGAAACCGCUUUCGUUUUAUGGAAAUGGGAUCCCCAAUAGCUAGAGACAAAAGAUUCAUAUGAGAAAACAUAAGUAAAUGGGCCUCCACCUGAGCCUCCAAAGAUAAAGGUACAUGAAUAGCCAUUUGAUCCCUAUCAAAAUCUGCAUUGAAUUCCUUACAAACUAAUGGAUGUAAACAAAUAGCGUGCCCUUCACUAAAACGGGCUGGAAUGCUUGUAUGCCUAAUCUAUGUAGAGUGGGUGCUCUAAUCAGCAAUACAGGAUGCCCUUGCAUAAUUUCCUGAAGCAUUUCCCUUACAAUCUUUCCUUUUUCCCGAAUUUUACUCUUAGCAACUCCUAUGUUCGGAGCAAGAUGUCUAAUUAGACCAUGAAUUACAAAUGUCUGGAAAAGCUCUAUUGCUAUUUCGCGCUACAAUCCACAUCGAUGUAAUGAAAGUGAAGGACCCACGACAAUGACGAAACGACCUGAAUAUUGGGUUAUCCAUUUUUUGUAAGUUAUUAUUUAACCUCAUUAUUUGAAAUUUUAGAGUAAUGCUAUAUAGCCACAUUGAGUUGCAACCCUAGUUUAGCUGAUUUUAGAUGAUAGACUAAAUGAAAGGUAAAAUUAAAUGACUUAUUUAAUUCCACUUAUUAUUUAAUGUCUAGUUAACGCCACCUAGACUGGGGCUGUAACCCUAGUGGGGUUAAUAGGAUUACUCAAAAUUAUAUGGUUGGGAUAUUGUUGUUGAUAUUGGGAUUUUUUUUUUUAAAUUGUGUGAUUGAAAAAGAAGAAAUUUUUUUGGGAUUAUGUAUAAUAUUAUUUUAUUGAAAAAUGUAUAUUUGAUAAGAAGAUAGAGAAAAAUGAAUUAUAAUUUUAAUAGGGCUAAACACGGGUUAAAUAAUGUAUGCAAGUUGCAGAGCUUGUAAAGAUUGUUUUCUCAGAUGGUAAUAGUCAUUAUCUUUAAUCAUACCAUUUUUUUAUUUAACAUUUAAUUGUAUUUAUUAUGCUGGGAAUUUUUGGGACUUGUAUGGUGAAAAGCAUUUGGCAGAUCAACUUUUUCGAAGUACAUCAAUUUUGUUUGGCAAUAGUUCAUCGUGUUCCCAUCAAAUUUCUACGCCUAAUGCUUUGUUUACUAACUUGAUUAGAAUCAAUUUUCCUAGGGAUGUGUUAGCUGUUGAACAAGCCAAUUUGCUGUGUUAUAUAUGUAGGUUCACUUUUAAUACUCAUCCGGAGACCAGAUAUAUAAUAAAAAUAUUUUUGAUCUUCAUGUUACCAAUAAUAUAAAUGAUUGUUUUAAUGUAUCUUGUUAUUGUAAAGUAGAGUACUUUGUAUUGAUAUUUGCACAUCGAGAAAGGUCAUUUAUACUUAAGUCGGCCUUUAUAAUUUGUUGUGACGUUUCUAUACUUUUUCAAAAGGUUAGACUGUGAUUUUUCUCCCAUUGUUGUUAUUUAAAUGCUAAUGUAAUGAGAGAGGAAUGUUUCACCUUUACUUAAUGAAUUUCUUCUUUUUCCUUUUUUAAUUAAAUUUAAAAUAAUGAAUUAUGAAAAUUGGCUUCAUAUGCACCAGCCUUUGUGCAGGGAAGGCAUGUGUGCAGGCUAAGAUGAACAUAUUUUCGUUUGCUUAUUUUCAUAAAUUUAUAAUUAUGCUACUCUUCAAAUACACUCUUAAGCACUUUGAAGCUAUGUUCUUAGAAUUUAACUCAUUGAGUUGUUGUUUGUCUAUCAUUCUCCAAAAAUUCUUUUUUUUUUUUUCCUUUUUAAACCCAUUUUCAAUCAUACAUUAUCAUAAUGAAAUAUUUUGCAUGUGAAUUCAAAAUUUUUCUUACCUUUCAACCACACAUUAUCAGAAAAAUACUAUUUCAAAACUUAUUCUCCCAAAAAAUUCUUUCUAAUAUGCAUCAAAUAAGUGUUGAUGUCGAUAUAAUAAGAUUGUAUUGUUCUUCUAUUGUCAAAAUAUAGAUUCUAGUGUUCAAUUUGAAUUUAAAUAAUUAAUAUAUUAUACUUUUGCAACUGGAUAAAAUAUUGAAAGGUGUUUUAAUUCAAAAACUAUGGGAUUUGUAAUAUAAUGCAUUCUUUGUGAAAAAUGGUAAAGCUUGAUUCUUUUGUACUUUUACAUUACAAAUGACACAGGUUCCGAAUAAGGUGUCUCCCAAUGCAACGGUUUUGUUAAUAGUUGGACAUCACAUUGUGGUUCCAUUGUUGUAGAUGACAUAACUCCAAAGUUCAUAGAAAUUAUGGAGAGUCGACUAGAAUGCUUUGAAAAUGACCCAAAUAUUGAAGAUUGAGAGUCUGUGUGUUCGUUGUUUUCCAAAUUGUAUACAGUUGAUAACAUCAUCCAUCAAUUGUUGUAGUAAAUUUUUUAGAUUGAUUUUAAUGUAUUCAUUCAUGGAAUACUUUACAUUUGUAUCGUGGCAUCAAUUUGCUUGUUUAUGUUAGGAAUCUUAGUUCAUAGCAGGAAAUUUAUUAACUUUAAAAUGAUAGAUUGUUUAUUUUUUUAUUCAAUUAGUCACGUGCUUGGAAACAUGUCAUGUUGGGGCAGUGUUCAAGUUUUGAACAUCUUGUAUUUAGGAAAGAGAUGUUAUGUUUUCAUCAAGAUAUUCAGUAAAUAUCUCUCGCCUAUGGAUAAAUAUUUUUUUCUGAAUACAAGGUGUUCAGAGCUUGGCCAUUGCCCCCAGCAUUAUAUGUUUUCAAGUACCAAUUGAAUAAAAAUAAAUAAUCCAUCAUUUUAGCGAUAGUGAAUUCGCUGUUAUAAACCAAGGUUCCUAGCAUAAUCAAGUAAAUUAAUAAUUCUCAUUGAUUUCACUACACAAAUGUAAAGUGAUUCAUGAAUGAAUACAUUAAAAUCCAUCUAAAGAAUUCAAUUGACGGAUACUGUUAUCAAUUGUAUACAUUUUAAAAAACAAUGAAUGCAGACUCUAUCUUUAAUAUUUUGGUUGUCUUCAAAGCAUUGCAGUUGACUCUCCAUAAUCUUUGUGAACUUUGGAGUAUGUCAUCGACAAAAGUGGAACCCCAACGUGUCGUCAAAUUAUUGACAAAAUCAUUAUAUUGGGGUAAAAGAAUUAGACUUUACCAUAUUUCACAAAGAAUGCAUGAUGUUCCGAAUCCCACAUUUUUUUAAUUAAAGUUCCUUCCAAUGGAGAAGUAUAAUAUAUUGAUUAUCUAAAUUCAAAUUGGAUACUAGAAUUCAUGUUUUGACAACGGAAGAACCAUACAAUCUCAUCAUAUCAGUAUCAGCACCUAUUUGAUGUUUAUUAGAAAUAAUUUUUUUGGGAAAAAUGAGUUUUGGAAUGGUAAUUUUUUUUUUUUUUUGAUAACAUUGUUGAAAGGUAAUAAAAUAUUUUAUUGUGAGAAUGUGAUUGAAAGUGAGUUAAAAAAAGAGUUUUUUGGGGAACGAUAGACAAAUAAGACUUAAAUGCCAAUAAUCACAGCUUCAAAGUGUUUUAGUAUUUGGGAAUGAUAUCAUUUUAAAUUUAUGAAACUAAGUAGAUAAAGAUAUUUUUAUCUUGGUCUUUUCACAUGCCAAAGGUUGAUGCAUAUGGAAGUCAAUUUUAAUAAUUUAUCAUAUUAAAUUUAAUAUAAAAGAAGAAAUUCAUCAAGUAAAGGUAAGACAUUUCUCUCUCAUUACAAUAUCAUUUAAAUAAUAACAAUGGGAGAAAAAUCGUGGUAGAACCUUUUGAAAAUGUACAUGAAAUUCACGAUAAUUUAUAAAUGUUGACUUCAGUAGAGACGACUUUUGAUAUCUCAAUGUGUAAAAUCUCACAACAAACUACUCUGCUUUACAAAAAUAUGGUACAUUAAAACAAUUAUUUAUAUUAUUUGUAACAUGAGGAUCAAAAAUAUUUUUAUUAUGUAUAUGUAUUAUAAGUGAAACUGCGUAUAUGAUACAACAGAUUGGUUUGUUCAACAGCUAACACAUACUCAGGAAAAUUGAUUCCAAUCGAGUUAGUAAACAAAGAAUUAGGCGGAGAAGUUUAAUGGGAACACAUGAACCAUUGCUGUACAAAAUUGAUAUACUUCAGAAAAAAAGUUGAUGCGUCAAAUGCUUUAUACCAUACAAGCCAUAAAAAUUUCGUGCAUAAUAAAUAUAGUUAAAUAUUAAAGAAAAAUGAAUGGUAUGAUUCAAUAUAGCGAUUGUUUCAAUCUCAGAAAAACAAGCUUUGUAGUGUGCAUCAUUUAGCCUUUGUUUGUCCCUAUUGAAAUUAUAAAUUUUUUCUCUAUCUUCUUAUCAACCAUAUAUUCUUUAAUAAAAUAAUAUUACACGUUAUCCUAAAACUUUUUUUCUUUUUUAAUCACACAAUUAAAAAAAACACUAUUCCAACCAUUAAAAUUUCUAAUUAUGGGGGUUAAAUAGUGACUUACUAAAAAUGGAUAAUCAAAGACAAAGGGUGUAUAAUCAAAGCAGGAGGCUAUGCCAGAAGAAGAGUAAAGUCGUAAUAAAAGAAAAUAUAUACGACCUGAUAUGUUAGAACUUGUCAUUGAAUGCACAAUUCCAUGUAUUCACAUACUAGUGAGUACUAACGGAUUAAGUUCGAUAAACUAAAUAGAAAAAAAUGGACCGGUAAAAAAUUGAAAAUAAUAGAAUAUCAUCUUACCCAAACUAAUUUGUAUCUUUAGAAAAAGCUUUCUUCGGACGAAGUCUUAGUUCAUGCAUAUAAAUUUCCUCAAAGAACCAAAUUUAACAGCUUCGAGUUGAACACAUUGCCAACAUAUUAUCUGGUCACAAAGGCGAUUAAUUUGAUUGGUCUCAAAACUAGUCAAUACAUGAUCGGAUAUAUCAUGUUGUAAUUUCUUCUUAUUCUCUUUUGCAAAAUCAUCAAAUGAACUCUCUGCGCCAAUGACUUGUAGCGCCCAAACUUUUUCGAGAUCGGGGUUAGAAUGCCUCCACUCAGAAAAAUUAACUUAUUUAAUGCCAAUAUGUAGAAAUGUUUAAUGGCGGCCUUUUUUACAUUUCUAUAAGAUUUACAUUUUAUGUAAAUCUUACAUUUCCUGAUUAAUGAUCACUUCCAGAGUAUUUGCACAUUUUGCAUAAGUAAUAAUUGCGUGAUUAUUAUCCACUGCAUAGCUCAUUUUCUAAUUGACUCCAACAAAAUCUUUUGCUAUAUAGUCUUCGUGACAAAAUUUUAAAUAGAAGUUAAAAUCUUUAGUUGAAUUAUGAUAAAGUAAUGGAAACGAAUAAAACAACCAACUUAACAUUUAAAAAAAAAAAAGAGUAAAUUUCAAAAAGUGUCAAUCCUUAAAUUGAGAGAUGCUCUUCCGCCACAUUAAAGAAGCUUAAGCUUCUUGCAUAUUUUCUAUAUUCUCAUAUAUGCUUGUGAUUCAUAAAUAAUUAAGAUAAAAUAAUGAUAUAUAACAUAAGCAUUCCAUCCUACAUAUAAAAGAGUGGAAGAAUUAACGGGUUUCAAGAUGUCAAUAGUUGAGUAGUUCUCACUUUGUGUGUUUGACCUGUUGAUUAGUGGUGUUUCUUAAAAACAUUUUUUUCAUUCUAUCUGUCGAUUGUAUCCUUAGUUCUAAUAUUCCAGUUAAGCAAAAGAUCAUUUGUUACACAAAGAACUAUUUAAGUGAUUUUUGUUGUUGAAUAAUAAGAGGCUACAUCAUAAGUUUGAGUUACAUAGAUGAGUAAUAUUGUUCAUACUACUCGCAUUCACAGAUCCUUUAUCAGCUCCUCCAGCAACUGUAGUUUUUUGGUUAAUUUGAUUGCAUCUUCUUUUAUGCAUGUUUAUUUGUUAAUGUUAGCUGUCAAUUGCUUUUGUCGUUUUAGUAAUUCUAUUUUCAGUAACCUUUGGUCUAUUUCCUACUACUGGAUUGAAAUUUUUAAUCAUUACAUUGUGUCAAGUUUCGAAUUGUUUUUUCAACAAUGUCAUCUUGGAGUAUUACGCUAGAUUCCUAUCUUAUGAUGAUUUCGAUAUUCCUUUUCCAAUUGUCAUGCUAUUAUCAAUAUUAAGGUGAUAAUUUCAGAUAGGUUUGAUCAUUGAAGACUUUAUAUGAGAAGACCGAUUGUCAACAUGGCCCAUUGUUGAAAUUGGCUCUACAAUGAAAUGUUGUGCUCAGUGCUCUAGGGGUGCUACUGAUCAGUCCUUACAACAUGUGAUGUCAAUCUUCUAUUGAUUUGUGACUUUGUUUAAAGCUACAACACUUUUUACAUUGCAAAUGUUGUUUGUUCUUUUCUGAUAACAGUGAUUCUUCCUAUUUCUUAAAAUUCUUCUGAAUGUUGGUAGUAUCUAUUGUUUUAACAAUUUC